This 216-nucleotide unclassified non-coding RNA is filed under the name rhizosphere metagenome. RNAcentral's name for it is "partial ribosomal RNA internal transcribed spacer region". The record is from RNAcentral.
GUAGGUGAACCUGCGGAAGGAUCAUUACAGAGAAUAUCGCCCUCGCGGGUGACUCUCCAACCCUAUGUUAUUGUACCUUUGUUGCUUUGGCGAGCCGCUUCGGCCACCGGCUCGCGCUGGUGAGUGCUCGCCAGAGGACCCCAAACUCUGAAUUAUUAGUGUCGUCUGAGUACUAUAUAAUAGUUAAAACUUUCAACAACGGAUCUCUUGGUUCUG